CUAUCUCUCUUGAAACCUUUUUCAAUUGUGUUAUACACAUCAAACAAUUUGGAGAGUAUGUGGUUAUUGUUCAUUACAUAGUUUACCAUAAACUUAGUGAACCAUUAGGAUAGGGAAACAAAGGUGAAGUCCUUGCCUAGUUUCCGUCUCGUUAAGUGGUUUAACACUUCAACACUUAAUGAUUCAAAAUCAUCAUAAGUCCAUGUUAAUGGACUAUUUUUGUCAACCAACCAUUAUGUUCUAAAUAUAAUUACAAACUUUCAAGAGUUGUACAAGGCAACUCUCAUUUCUUCAUACAACAAUUUUUAAGUGAAGAAUCAUGGCACAUAAAGUGUCCAUGCCCUUGUGCUUACUUCUCA
This 359-nucleotide long non-coding RNA is filed under the name Malus domestica (apple). RNAcentral describes it as "long non-coding RNA (MDOM_LNC010423)". Lineage: Eukaryota; Viridiplantae; Streptophyta; Magnoliopsida; Rosales; Rosaceae. The record is from RNAcentral.